Cynoglossus semilaevis (tongue sole) is the source of this 513-nucleotide long non-coding RNA. RefSeq lists it as uncharacterized. Lineage: Eukaryota; Metazoa; Chordata; Actinopteri; Pleuronectiformes; Cynoglossidae. The transcript has 4 exons. The record is from RefSeq and is a predicted model, not a curated record.
AGCUUCCAUCGCCACCUUUCCGUCUUUGUACUCUGGAUUGUCUUUCUUUAUCUGUGCAGCGUGGUAAUGAGGAACGCUGCUGUCCUGUUUGGAGCGUUUGAAGAAUCCACACUGACAGGAGACAAAAAGGCAAACCAGAGCAGAAAUACCAACAGAGCCAGGAUCAGGAUUCCAGCCAGAACAGCUACCAGAAUGAUCCACCAGGGGACGCCACCGUAAUGUGCUACGGUGCUUUCAGGAGACACUGCCACUGUGACCUGAUACAGAAGAUGUCACACUGCCUCCUUUUUCAUAUUCAUGGUGGAAUGGCUGGGGGCCAGCCGAAGGCCGUUGAAGUGACGGGCAAAAGACCAAGCAACAAGCAGUGCCUUAGGAACAGCGGUUGUAACAGCGGAGUUAUCACUCACAUUCUGUGGUCCGGGUGGAGCUGCCGGUGCAGGGCCAGAGAGAAGCCGAAGAGAGAGCCCGGUUCUCCGCUCUUUUUGAGCACAUGACCGGUGUCCAAGUUAAAGG